GAUGAACGCUGGCGGCGUGCCUAAUACAUGCAAGUCGAGCGGACGGACGAGAAGCUUGCUGCUCUGAUGUUAGCGGCGGGCGUGUGAGUAACACGUGUAUAACCUACCUAUAAGACUGGUAUAACUUCGGGAAACCGGAUCUAAUACCGGAGAAUAUUUUGAACCGCAUGGUUCAAAAGUGAGAGACGGUCUUGCUGUCACUUAUAGAUGCAUCCGCGCUGGAUUAGCUAGUUGGUAAGUUAACGGCUUACCAAGGCAACGAUGCAUAACCGAAGUGAGAGGGGGAUAGGCCACAUUGGAACUGAGCCAGGGACAAGAGUACUGAGGGAGGCAGCAGUAGGGAAUGUUCCGCAGCGGGCGAAAACCUGACGGAGCAACGGCGAGUGAGUGAUGGAGGUCUCGGGAUCGUAAAACUCUGCUAUGAGGGAAGAACAGAUGUGUAAGUAAAUGUGCACAUCUUGACGGUACCUAAUAAGAAAGCACCGGCUAACUACGUG
Molecule: ribosomal RNA, 497 nt
Filed under: uncultured bacterium
Lineage: Bacteria
Description: partial 16S ribosomal RNA
Rfam family: Bacterial small subunit ribosomal RNA
Source: RNAcentral